ACGAACUAUCAGCGAACCGAAACGUUGAGAAAAUUGUUUGCUCAAGUGAUUACUUUUACUUUCACUUGAAAGCAGGAAAUUAGUUUUACGCCAUUUCUUUCAAUGGUAAGUUUCGGCCAUCCAAAAUCCCCUGAAACUAUACAGCAAAGUGUUCUUUGCAGCUUGUGUGUGUCUGUGUGAGUGGAGGACAAAUAAAAAAUGAAAUGGCUAAAGCCGAAAAAUGCCGCAGAUCCAUAAAAAGCCCGUUACAAUCUGUUAGGCUGCCUGGGUUGCCCAGGAGUGGCAGGGUUGCCACCACCACAAAUCAUGCAGCAUUCUGCUGGCAUUCUGAAUCAACAUGGAAAUGCCAUCGUUGGCCAAUGCAUGGCAUUUAAUGCGAAUGCGAAACUAAAAAUAAGUAAAUCCAAAGAAAUGCUAACUACUUCGCCCCGGCAAAACAUGCAACAUUCGAAACAUUUUUCAAGUUACCAAUCAGGAGGAGAAAUGACAUUCACAGCCCAAAUGGAUUGUGCUAACUCCAUGUUACAUUGUGCACAUUUCUAUAUGUAUGUACGAGUAUAUAUAGAUUUUUUACAAAUUAAACAGCAGUCGCCACAGCA
Drosophila santomea is the source of this 599-nucleotide long non-coding RNA. RefSeq lists it as uncharacterized. The transcript is spliced from 3 exons. The record is from RefSeq and is a predicted model, not a curated record. NCBI's taxonomy places the organism in Eukaryota, Metazoa, Arthropoda, Insecta, Diptera, Drosophilidae.